CUCCUCCUCUUCAGCCCCCAGAAGCACCAUUAGACCACUUCCAUUCCUGCUCUGAUGCCAAAGAGUGCUGCUGAGGGAAAUCCAGGCACUAGGACCACCCUGACCACUUAAGAGCCCUCAGGAGCACCAUUAGAUCUUCUCCACAUCUGCCCUGAUGCCACAGAGCACCACUGGGAGGGAAUGAGGACCUCUGGGCCGUCUCGAAGAUCUCAACAGCAGGUGCCCAAUGCAUUUCUUGACUUCAAGGAGCAUACCUGUGCCAUUUUGGAUCAUCAGAUCAAACCUCAGACCUGUCCUGCCAUUGAGAUGGAGCUGUAGGCUGUACUGUCACCUCAAGGGGAAGGCUUUUAUUUUAUUUGUGUGUGUGUGUGUGUGUAUAUAAAAACAUAAGGUUAAUGGGGCUCGGGGA
This is a long non-coding RNA of Tachyglossus aculeatus (Australian echidna), 409 nucleotides long. RefSeq lists it as uncharacterized. The record is from RefSeq and is a predicted model, not a curated record. The transcript is spliced from 3 exons. NCBI's taxonomy places the organism in Eukaryota, Metazoa, Chordata, Mammalia, Monotremata, Tachyglossidae.